UGUUUGUUGCUAGGAACCUUCUUGCUUUCUCAUGAGAUGGACAUCCAGCCUUUCUUAGGUGUGCAGGAAACACCCUGAUCCUAUCAGAGAACACACUACCUGGCUGACAAUCUCUGCAUCCAAGUGACAGAUAUCCUGAGACCUACAGACAAAUGGAUGCUGCGCCAGAAGUAUUCCUUAUUGGCAAAGGCAGCUCUGCUGUACCUGGGAACAUACUCCCCUGUGGAAAUGUUCCUCUCUCCAGGAGAAGGACAACUCCCUAUGACUGUUGGUUGUCUUCCAAAUCAAACUGAGGCUCAAAGGAGGAAAAGGAAAUUUUAAAAGGACAAGCUGCAGCUUUUGAAGAUAAUUCUCAAAAAGGAAUUUCCAAAAUAUU
Molecule: long non-coding RNA, 376 nt
Organism: Sarcophilus harrisii (Tasmanian devil)
Lineage: Eukaryota; Metazoa; Chordata; Mammalia; Dasyuromorphia; Dasyuridae
Exons: 2
Source: RefSeq, a predicted model, not a curated record